RNAcentral lists this ribosomal RNA (440 nucleotides) under uncultured bacterium. RNAcentral's name for it is "partial 16S ribosomal RNA". It matches the Rfam family "Bacterial small subunit ribosomal RNA", at positions 338 to 795 of the family's 1533-position model. The record is from RNAcentral.
CCUACGGGUGGCAGCAGUGGGGAAUAUUGGACAAUGGGGGAAACCCUGAAGCAGCGAAGCCGCGUGAGUGAAGAAGUAAUUCGUUAUGUAAAGCUCUAUCAGCAGGGGAGAAAAUGACGGUACGUGAGUAAGAAGCCCCGGCUAACUACGUGCCAGCAGCCGCGGUAAUACGUAGGGAGCAAGCGUUAUCCGGAUUUACUGGGUGUAAAGGGAGUGUAGAGGGCAUUGCAGGUCCGGAGUGAAAGGCGGGGGCUCAACCCCCGGACUGCUCUGGAUACUGUACGGCUGGAGUGCAGGAGAGGUAAGUGGAAUUCCUAGUGUAGCGGUGAAAUGCGUAGAUAUGAGGAGGAACACCAGUGGCGAAGGCGGCUUACUGGACUGUAACUGACGUUGAGGCUCGAAAGCGUGGGGAGCAAACAGGAUUAGAUACCCUUGUAGUC